Long non-coding RNA from Gossypium raimondii (Peruvian cotton), 801 nucleotides. RefSeq lists it as uncharacterized. NCBI's taxonomy places the organism in Eukaryota, Viridiplantae, Streptophyta, Magnoliopsida, Malvales, Malvaceae. The transcript has 2 exons. The record is from RefSeq and is a predicted model, not a curated record.
ACAUCUUUUCUUUAUCCUCCAAGUCUCCAUCUUCUUCCCUGUUCAACACUCGCUUUCUUUACCCUCUCACAAUACUCUUUCUCUCAUCAGUUCUUUGGGGUUCCUUUAGGGUUAUUAUUCCUUUCAUACAUACAUACUUUUGUUGCUGGUUUUGUAAUAUAAAAGCAGGUAAAAAGGGAGCUUUCUUCAGUCCACUCAUGGGUGGCGAGAUGGGAUUUCAAUUAGCUGCCGACUCAUUCAUCCAAAUACGGUGUUAUAAAAAGGACGAUAUAUCUCAGCAAAUAUAUGCUCUGUAAAUGAGUGAAUGAUGCGGGAGACAAAUUGAAUCUUAAACUUCCUAUGCUUGGACUGAAGGGAGCUCCCUCUGCUCUUCUUUUAUCCAUUCCUUAUUUCUUGUUCAUGUCACAAAAAGGUUGUAAUGGCUGGCUGGGGUUAAUUACUGAUAAACUGUUGGUUUUUACAACUUGAACGGGCAGCUUUCGAAUCUUUGACACAAACAAGUUUUAGGGUUUAUGAUUGUGAAGGAGAAGUUGCAAUUUAUUGUUCAAAGCAACCUAAAAUGGCAACGCAUGGGAAAGGACAAAAAACAUAUUGGGUAGUGCUCUUGUACAGCCACAAGUUCCUAGAGAGAUGUCCCUCCAGUUCAUGUGUAAUUACCUAAGAUAUCCAUUUAUUGUAUAUUCUGAAUUUUAGUGCAAUUUAACUUUGUAUUAGUUUCAUUCUAGGUUACACAAACAUGAUUGUAUUAUAAUUGUUAAAAAAUUAUAAUUUAACAUAAAAAAACAAAUAUUACUAUAAAAA